This 379-nucleotide small RNA is filed under the name uncultured fungus. Its description in RNAcentral is "eukaryotic LSU rRNA". The stretch from base 1 to 74 matches the Rfam family "5.8S ribosomal RNA", at positions 81 to 154 of the family's 154-position model. Lineage: Eukaryota; Fungi. The record is from RNAcentral.
UCAGUGAAUCAUCGAAUCUUUGAACGCACCUUGCGCCCCUUGGUAUUCCGAGGGGCACACCCGUUUGAGUGUCGUGAACACCCUCAACCUUCUUGGUUUCUCGACCGGGAAGGCUUGGACUUUGGAGGUUUUCCUUGCUGGCCUCCCUUUGAAGCCAGCUCCUCCUAAAGGAAUUAGUGGGGUCCGCCUUGCCGAUCCUUGACGUGAUAAGUAUGCUUCUACGUCUUGGGUUUCGCACUGUUGGCCCUGGAACCUGCUUCUAACAGUCUUUGAACAAAGACGACGAUAUCGAGUUGCAUCGUGACUCGACCUCAGCGACCUUGACCUCAAAUCGGGUGAGACUACCCGCUGAACUUAAGCAUAUCAAUAAGCGGAGGAA